UAGUCCACGCCGUAAACGAUGGUCACUAGCUGUUCGGAUUUUCGAUCUGAGUGGCUAAGCGAAAGUGAUAAGUGACCCACCUGGGGAGUACGUUCGCAAGAAUGAAACUCAAAGGAAUUGACGGGGGCCCGCACAAGCGGUGGAGCAUGUGGUUUAAUUCGAUGAUACGCGAGGAACCUUACCAGGGCUUAAAUGUAGGUUGACAGGCUGAGAGAUCGGUUUUUCUUCGGACAACUUACAAGGUGCUGCAUGGUUGUCGUCAGCUCGUGCCGUGAGGUGUCAGGUUAAGUCCCGCAACGAGCGCAACCCUUGUCUUUAGUCGCCAUCAUUAAGUUGGGCACUUUAAAGAGACUGCCGGUGACAAACCGGAGGAAGGUAAGGAUGACGUCAAGUCAGCAUGCCCCAUAUGCUCUGGGCUACACACGUGCUACAAUGGCCGUGACAAAGAGUUGCUACUUUGUGAAAACAAGCUAAUCUCAUAAACGCGGCCUCAGUUCGGAUUGCAGG
RNAcentral lists this ribosomal RNA (507 nucleotides) under uncultured bacterium. RNAcentral's name for it is "bacterial SSU rRNA". It matches the Rfam family "Bacterial small subunit ribosomal RNA", at positions 791 to 1304 of the family's 1533-position model. The record is from RNAcentral.